RNAcentral lists this ribosomal RNA (461 nucleotides) under uncultured bacterium. Its description in RNAcentral is "partial 16S ribosomal RNA". It matches the Rfam family "Bacterial small subunit ribosomal RNA", at positions 339 to 795 of the family's 1533-position model. The record is from RNAcentral.
CUACGGGAGGCUGCAGUCGAGAAUCUUCGGCAAUGGGCGUAAGCCUGACCGAGCGACGCCGCGUGCGGGAUGAAGGCCUUCGGGUUGUAAACCGCUGUCAGUUGGGAGGAAAUCACAUGGGGUCAUCCCCAUGUGUUGACCUAUCUUCAGAGGAAGUACGGGCUAAGUUCGUGCCAGCAGCCGCGGUAACACGAACCGUACAAACGUUAUUCGGAAUCACUGGGCUUAAAGGGUGCGUAGGCGGCUCUGCAAGUUGGGUGUGAAAGCCCUCGGCUCAACCGAGGAACUGCGCUCAAAACUGCAGGGCUAGAGGGAGACAGAGGUGAGCGGAACUUAGGGUGGAGCGGUGAAAUGCGUUGAUAUCCUAAGGAACACCAGUGGCGAAAGCGGCUCACUGGGUCUCUUCUGACGCUGAGGCACGAAAGCUAGGGGAGCGAACGGGAUUAGAUACCCUCGUAGUC